AACGAACGCUGGCGGCAUGCCUAACACAUGCAAGUCGAACGAGACCUUCGGGUCUAGUGGCGCACGGGUGCGUAACGCGUGGGAACCUGCCCUUAGGUUCGGAAUAACUCCCCGAAAGGGGUGCUAAUACCGGUUAAUGUCUUCGGACCAAAGAUUUAUCGCCUUUGGAUGGGCCCGCGUUGGAUUAGCUAGUUGGUAGGGUAAAAGCCUACCAAGGCGACGAUCCAUAGCUGGUCUGAGAGGAUGAACAGCCACACUGGGACUGAGACACAGCCCAGACUCCUACGUGAGGCAGCAGUGGGGAAUAUUAGACAAUGGGCGAAAGCCUGAUCCAGCAAUGCCGCGUGAGUGAUGAAGGCCUUAGGGUUGUAAAGCUCUUUUACCCGGGAUGAUAAUGACAGUACCGGGAGAAUAAGCUCCGGCUAACUCCGUG
RNAcentral lists this ribosomal RNA (433 nucleotides) under uncultured bacterium. RNAcentral's name for it is "partial 16S ribosomal RNA". It matches the Rfam family "Bacterial small subunit ribosomal RNA", at positions 29 to 507 of the family's 1533-position model. The record is from RNAcentral.